UAGGGAAUCUUCCUCAAUGGGCGAAAGCUUGACGGAGCAACGCCGCGUGAGUGAUGAAGGUCUUCGGAUCGUAAAACUCUGUUAUUAGGGAAGAACAAAUGUGUAAGUAACUAUGCACGUCUUGACGGUACCUAAUCAGAAAGCCACGGCUAACUACGUGCCAGCAGCCGCGGUAAUACGUAGGUGGCAAGCGUUAUCCGGAAUUAUUGGGCGUAAAGCGCGCGUAGGCGGUUUUUUAAGUCUGAUGUGAAAGCCCACGGCUCAACCGUGGAGGGUCAUUGGAAACUGGAAAACUUGAGUGCAGAAGAGGAAAGUGGAAUUCCAUGUGUAGCGGUGAAAUGCGCAGAGAUAUGGAGGAACACCAGUGGCGAAGGCGACUUUCUGGUCUGUAACUGACGCUGAUGUGCGAAAGCGUGGGGAUCAAACAGG
Molecule: ribosomal RNA, 429 nt
Filed under: Actinomycetes bacterium
Lineage: Bacteria; Bacillati; Actinomycetota; Actinomycetes
Description: Actinobacteria bacterium partial 16S ribosomal RNA
Rfam family: Bacterial small subunit ribosomal RNA
Source: RNAcentral